RNAcentral lists this microRNA (22 nucleotides) under Fasciola hepatica (liver fluke). RNAcentral's name for it is "fhe-miR-125b". Its record names the gene fhe-miR-125b. The record is from miRBase by way of RNAcentral. Lineage: Eukaryota; Metazoa; Platyhelminthes; Trematoda; Plagiorchiida; Fasciolidae.
CCCCUGAGACUGAUAAUUGCUC